RNAcentral lists this ribosomal RNA (442 nucleotides) under uncultured bacterium. Its description in RNAcentral is "partial 16S ribosomal RNA". It matches the Rfam family "Bacterial small subunit ribosomal RNA", at positions 338 to 795 of the family's 1533-position model. The record is from RNAcentral.
CCUACGGGAGGCAGCAGUAGGGAAUUUUUCACAAUGGGCGAAAGCCUGAUGGAGCAACGCCGCGUGCAGGAUGAAGGCCUUCGGGUUGUAAACUGCUUUUAUAAGCGAGAAAUAUGAUGGUAACUUAUGAAUAAGGAUCGGCUAACUACGUGCCAGCAGCCGCGGUCAUACGUAGGAUCCGAGCAUUAUCCGGAGUGACUGGGUGUAAAGAGUUGCGUAGGUGGCAUAAUAAGUAGCUAGUGAAAUCUGGUGGCUCAACCAUUCAGACUAUUAGCUAAACUGUUAAGCUCGAGACCGUUAGGGGUAACUGGAAUUUCUAGUGUAGGAGUGAAAUCCGUAGAUAUUAGAAGGAACACCAAUAGCGUAGGCAGGUUGCUGGGACGGUUCUGACACUAAGGCACGAAAGCGUAGGGAGCAAACAGGAUUAGAUACCCGAGUAGUC